AAAUUCUCAGGCAUUAGCUCAGUGUGGCUGAGGCGGGGUGCAGGGAGCUGUGUGAACCCAUUAAUCAUCGCAGGGCAGCUGCCAGCUCGCUGACUUUAAUUGGGGCUUUCUAAUAUUUACGCUGUUUGGAGGGGGUUUUUUUGGCAAUGCUGAUAAAGGAUUUUGUUCCUCUCUCACGAGGAUGUGGAGAGACAGCAGAGGUGUGAGUUAAUUCAAGGUUGCUGAAUGACUUGCUGCUUCUGGGGGAAAUUAUGUUACUCAGCAUUGUUUUCCUUCUGAAAUUGCUGUCUUGGCUGCAUCUCCAAUAGUUUUGCAUAUAUGUCUCUUCCAAUUUCCUGUUCUUUAGACUUCUCCAUCCUGUGACUUCCAGUCCUGGCAUUUUUAUUGCAACCCCAUGGAAGUAAGCAGUCUCAGUGGGCACGUCCUAUUCUUGUGAGGAGGAAGAGGAUGGAAGCACAUCUUAAUGAGGAGAGAAGGCAAGAUGAUGGUGAUGUAUUCUCACCUGAUGGACCCUGCUGAGACAUCGAUUUUGGCCAUGAGGGGGACAUUGCAGGUAAUAUUGCACUUUGCUCUCUAAUCUUCUUUGGUAAAAAGAAGGGCUACAUCCUUUCAGUGAUUUACCUUUCCCCUUGGAACCUUUGCUGAAGUGAUGGCUGGGAAACCCAGCUCUUCCUGCCCUUGCCAGGUCUAUAAAUCAGCCUGUGUUUGGUUAUUCCGAGUCCUUCACCACACAUCCUCUC
This 740-nucleotide long non-coding RNA is filed under the name Coturnix japonica (Japanese quail). RNAcentral describes it as "lncRNA (ENSCJPG00005015408.1)". The record is from RNAcentral. Lineage: Eukaryota; Metazoa; Chordata; Aves; Galliformes; Phasianidae.